CUGUACCUACGGGGGGCAGCAGUAGGGAAUCUUCCACAAUGGGCGAAAGCCUGAUGGAGCAACGCCGCGUGGGUGAAGAAGGUCUUCGGAUCGUAAAACCCUGUUGUUAGAGAAGAAAGUGCGUGAGAGUAACUGUUCACGUUUCGUCGGUAUCUAACCAGAAAGCCACGACUAACUACGUGCCAGCAGCUGCGGUAAUACGUAGGUGGCAAGCGUUAUCCGGAUUUAUUGGGCGUACAGGGAACGCAGCCUGUCUUUUAAGUCUGAUG
RNAcentral lists this ribosomal RNA (269 nucleotides) under uncultured bacterium. RNAcentral's name for it is "partial 16S ribosomal RNA". It matches the Rfam family "Bacterial small subunit ribosomal RNA", at positions 333 to 594 of the family's 1533-position model. The record is from RNAcentral.